This 26-nucleotide unclassified non-coding RNA is filed under the name Mus musculus (house mouse). RNAcentral's name for it is "oocyte_clustered_small_RNA7212". Lineage: Eukaryota; Metazoa; Chordata; Mammalia; Rodentia; Muridae. The record is from RNAcentral.
UAUCAGGGUCAGUGUCUAGGUGUCCU